Small nucleolar RNA from Melospiza melodia melodia, 122 nucleotides. RefSeq annotates it as small nucleolar RNA SNORA17. The transcript has a single exon. NCBI's taxonomy places the organism in Eukaryota, Metazoa, Chordata, Aves, Passeriformes, Passerellidae. The record is from RefSeq and is a predicted model, not a curated record.
GUGGCCCCAGAAUUGCAGUCAGUCCCAUGCUGUGCAAGUCUGGUGGCCAAGAAAAUAGUGGGUCAGUCACAGGUUUGUGUCCAGCCCUCUCCUGGGACAUCAAAGCUACAGAAGCUCAUAUU